RNAcentral lists this ribosomal RNA (1484 nucleotides) under Ligilactobacillus salivarius. RNAcentral describes it as "bacterial SSU rRNA". It matches the Rfam family "Bacterial small subunit ribosomal RNA". The record is from RNAcentral. Lineage: Bacteria; Bacillati; Bacillota; Bacilli; Lactobacillales; Lactobacillaceae.
GACGAACGCUGGCGGCGUGCCUAAUACAUGCAAGUCGAACGAAACUUUCUUACACCGAAUGCUUGCAUUCACCGUAAGAAGUUGAGUGGCGGACGGGUGAGUAACACGUGGGUAACCUGCCUAAAAGAAGGGGAUAACACUUGGAAACAGGUGCUAAUACCGUAUAUUUCUAAGGAUCGCAUGAUCCUUAGAUGAAAGAUGGUUCUGCUAUCGCUUUUAGAUGGACCUGCGGCGUAUUAACUAGUUGGUGGGGUAACGGCCUACCAAGGUGAUGAUACGUAGCCGAACUGAGAGGUUGAUCGGCCACAUUGGGACUGAGACACGGCCCAAACUCCUACGGGAGGCAGCAGUAGGGAAUCUUCCACAAUGGACGCAAGUCUGAUGGAGCAACGCCGCGUGAGUGAAGAAGGUCUUCGGAUCGUAAAACUCUGUUGUUAGAGAAGAACACGAGUGAGAGUAACUGUUCAUUCGAUGACGGUAUCUAACCAGCAAGUCACGGCUAACUACGUGCCAGCAGCCGCGGUAAUACGUAGGUGGCAAGCGUUGUCCGGAUUUAUUGGGCGUAAAGGGAACGCAGGCGGUCUUUUAAGUCUGAUGUGAAAGCCUUCGGCUUAACCGGAGUAGUGCAUUGGAAACUGGAAGACUUGAGUGCAGAAGAGGAGAGUGGAACUCCAUGUGUAGCGGUGAAAUGCGUAGAUAUAUGGAAGAACACCAGUGGCGAAAUCGGCUCUCUGGUCUGUAACUGACGCUGAGGUUCGAAAGCGUGGGUAGCAAACAGGAUUAGAUACCCUGGUAGUCCACGCCGUAAACGAUGAAUGCUAGGUGUUGGAGGGUUUCCGCCCUUCAGUGCCGCAGCUAACGCAAUAAGCAUUCCGCCUGGGGAGUACGACCGCAAGGUUGAAACUCAAAGGAAUUGACGGGGGCCCGCACAAGCGGUGGAGCAUGUGGUUUAAUUCGAAGCAACGCGAAGAACCUUACCAGGUCUUGACAUCCUUUGACCACCUAAGAGAUUAGGCUUUCCCUUCGGGGACAAAGUGACAGGUGGUGCAUGGCUGUCGUCAGCUCGUGUCGUGAGAUGUUGGGUUAAGUCCCGCAACGAGCGCAACCCUUGUUGUCAGUUGCCAGCAUUAAGUUGGGCACUCUGGCGAGACUGCCGGUGACAAACCGGAGGAAGGUGGGGACGACGUCAAGUCAUCAUGCCCCUUAUGACCUGGGCUACACACGUGCUACAAUGGACGGUACAACGAGUCGCGAGACCGCGAGGUUUAGCUAAUCUCUUAAAGCCGUUCUCAGUUCGGAUUGUAGGCUGCAACUCGCCUACAUGAAGUCGGAAUCGCUAGUAAUCGCGAAUCAGCAUGUCGCGGUGAAUACGUUCCCGGGCCUUGUACACACCGCCCGUCACACCAUGAGAGUUUGUAACACCCAAAGCCGGUGGGGUGACCGCAAGGAGCCAGCCGUCUAAGGUGGGACAGAUGAUUGGGGUG